Molecule: ribosomal RNA, 2235 nt
Filed under: Staphylococcus aureus DAR1492
Lineage: Bacteria; Bacillati; Bacillota; Bacilli; Caryophanales; Staphylococcaceae
Description: bacterial LSU rRNA
Rfam family: Bacterial large subunit ribosomal RNA
Source: RNAcentral
AUAGGGCGUUUAGUAUUUGGUCGUAGACCCGAAACCAGGUGAUCUACCCUUGGUCAGGUUGAAGUUCAGGUAACACUGAAUGGAGGACCGAACCGACUUACGUUGAAAAGUGAGCGGAUGAACUGAGGGUAGCGGAGAAAUUCCAAUCGAACCUGGAGAUAGCUGGUUCUCUCCGAAAUAGCUUUAGGGCUAGCCUCAAGUGAUGAUUAUUGGAGGUAGAGCACUGUUUGGACGAGGGGCCCCUCUCGGGUUACCGAAUUCAGACAAACUCCGAAUGCCAAUUAAUUUAACUUGGGAGUCAGAACAUGGGUGAUAAGGUCCGUGUUCGAAAGGGAAACAGCCCAGACCACCAGCUAAGGUCCCAAAAUAUAUGUUAAGUGGAAAAGGAUGUGGCGUUGCCCAGACAACUAGGAUGUUGGCUUAGAAGCAGCCAUCAUUUAAAGAGUGCGUAAUAGCUCACUAGUCGAGUGACACUGCGCCGAAAAUGUACCGGGGCUAAACAUAUUACCGAAGCUGUGGAUUGUCCUUUGGACAAUGGUAGGAGAGCGUUCUAAGGGCGUUGAAGCAUGAUCGUAAGGACAUGUGGAGCGCUUAGAAGUGAGAAUGCCGGUGUGAGUAGCGAAAGACGGGUGAGAAUCCCGUCCACCGAUUGACUAAGGUUUCCAGAGGAAGGCUCGUCCGCUCUGGGUUAGUCGGGUCCUAAGCUGAGGCCGACAGGCGUAGGCGAUGGAUAACAGGUUGAUAUUCCUGUACCACCUAUAAUCGUUUUAAUCGAUGGGGGGACGCAGUAGGAUAGGCGAAGCGUGCGAUUGGAUUGCACGUCUAAGCAGUAAGGCUGAGUAUUAGGCAAAUCCGGUACUCGUUAAGGCUGAGCUGUGAUGGGGAGAAGACAUUGAGUCUUCGAGUCGUUGAUUUCACACUGCCGAGAAAAGCCUCUAGAUAGAAAAUAGGUGCCCGUACCGCAAACCGACACAGGUAGUCAAGAUGAGAAUUCUAAGGUGAGCGAGCGAACUCUCGUUAAGGAACUCGGCAAAAUGACCCCGUAACUUCGGGAGAAGGGGUGCUCUUUAGGGUUAACGCCCAGAAGAGCCGCAGUGAAUAGGCCCAAGCGACUGUUUAUCAAAAACACAGGUCUCUGCUAAACCGUAAGGUGAUGUAUAGGGGCUGACGCCUGCCCGGUGCUGGAAGGUUAAGAGGAGUGGUUAGCUUCUGCGAAGCUACGAAUCGAAGCCCCAGUAAACGGCGGCCGUAACUAUAACGGUCCUAAGGUAGCGAAAUUCCUUGUCGGGUAAGUUCCGACCCGCACGAAAGGCGUAACGAUUUGGGCACUGUCUCAACGAGAGACUCGGUGAAAUCAUAGUACCUGUGAAGAUGCAGGUUACCCGCGACAGGACGGAAAGACCCCGUGGAGCUUUACUGUAGCCUGAUAUUGAAAUUCGGCACAGCUUGUACAGGAUAGGUAGGAGCCUUUGAAACGUGAGCGCUAGCUUACGUGGAGGCGCUGGUGGGAUACUACCCUAGCUGUGUUGGCUUUCUAACCCGCACCACUUAUCGUGGUGGGAGACAGUGUCAGGCGGGCAGUUUGACUGGGGCGGUCGCCUCCUAAAAGGUAACGGAGGCGCUCAAAGGUUCCCUCAGAAUGGUUGGAAAUCAUUCAUAGAGUGUAAAGGCAUAAGGGAGCUUGACUGCGAGACCUACAAGUCGAGCAGGGUCGAAAGACGGACUUAGUGAUCCGGUGGUUCCGCAUGGAAGGGCCAUCGCUCAACGGAUAAAAGCUACCCCGGGGAUAACAGGCUUAUCUCCCCCAAGAGUUCACAUCGACGGGGAGGUUUGGCACCUCGAUGUCGGCUCAUCGCAUCCUGGGGCUGUAGUCGGUCCCAAGGGUUGGGCUGUUCGCCCAUUAAAGCGGUACGCGAGCUGGGUUCAGAACGUCGUGAGACAGUUCGGUCCCUAUCCGUCGUGGGCGUAGGAAAUUUGAGAGGAGCUGUCCUUAGUACGAGAGGACCGGGAUGGACAUACCUCUGGUGUACCAGUUGUCGUGCCAACGGCAUAGCUGGGUAGCUAUGUGUGGACGGGAUAAGUGCUGAAAGCAUCUAAGCAUGAAGCCCCCCUCAAGAUGAGAUUUCCCAACUUCGGUUAUAAGAUCCCUCAAAGAUGAUGAGGUUAAUAGGUUCGAGGUGGAAGCAUGGUGACAUGUGGAGCUGACGAAUACUAAUCGAUCGAAGACUUAAUCAA